GGACGAACGCUGGCGGCGUGCCUAACACAUGCAAGCGAGCGGGGACACACGACGGACAGGAAGUUUCGGACAGACUGGAAGAUGUAUGUUCUAGCGGCGGACGGGUGAGUAACGCGUGAGCAACCUGUCCUUCACAGGGGGGAUAACACAGCGAAAGUUGUGCUAAUACCGCAUAAGACCACGGCGAGACAUCUCGCAGGGGGUCAAAAGGAGCAAUCCGGGUGAAGGGUGGGCUCGCGUCCGAUUAGAUAGUUGGUGAGGUAACGGCCCACCAAGUCGACGAUCGGUAGCCGACCUGAGAGGGUGAUCGGCCACAUUGGGACUGAGACACGGCCCAAACUCCUACGGGAGGCAGCAGUGGGGAAUAUUGGGCAAUGGGGGGAAACCCUGACCCAGCAACGCCGCGUGAGGGAAGAAGGUUUUCGGAUCGUAAACCUCUGUCCUACGUGAAGAGUAAGAGACGGUAGCAUAGGAGGAAGCCCCGGCUAACUACGUGCCAGCCGCGGC
This 507-nucleotide ribosomal RNA is filed under the name uncultured bacterium. RNAcentral's name for it is "bacterial SSU rRNA". It matches the Rfam family "Bacterial small subunit ribosomal RNA", at positions 27 to 518 of the family's 1533-position model. The record is from RNAcentral.